GAAAAGUCAGACCUCUGCAACCCACCACACGGUCUUGGGGAAACCGUCCAAAAUCCUCUGCAAACUUCCUAUUGUCAGAGACUCGCGUGAGCAAAUUCCCAGCGAAGGCAAUCGGACAUGUCAUUAGGAGAGCAACCCAAGCAGAAAGGCCCCAUAUGACCUCCCCGGUGCCGAGCGCCUUUAAUAAUAAGAAGGAGUUACGAGGCUUGCAGAGAGACUGAUCUGAAGGAUCCUCCUCCCAAGCUCUGCAGGACCACGAUGAGGAUCUACUGAACAGCAACGGCUCUGCCCUCUGUGCCUACCAACCCACCCGCCAGCCCCAUACCUCUGUACCAUUCUGCUCCGGCAGAUCUGGAAUAAUAAUAAUAAUAAUUGCAAAUAUUAAUGA
This is a long non-coding RNA of Tyto alba (common barn owl), 388 nucleotides long. RefSeq lists it as uncharacterized. The transcript is spliced from 2 exons. NCBI's taxonomy places the organism in Eukaryota, Metazoa, Chordata, Aves, Strigiformes, Tytonidae. The record is from RefSeq and is a predicted model, not a curated record.